GACUCUCGAGACUUCGAUUUCUCCGCCUCCCGCCACCGUCCCCCUCAGCCUCCGCCGACUAACCGAUGGCAUCAGAAUCGACGAUCGACGUGCUGCUGGCGAUCCUCUCCGGCAAGCAGGUGGGGACGAUCGGUGAGAGCCGGCAGAUCAUGACGAUCCUCUCCACCGCCGUCGCCGUGCUGGUCGGCUGCGCGGUCUUAUUCGUGUGGCGGCGAUCGACCGGUAAGGGCUCGAGUCGGGCUGUAGAGCCGCCGAGGCCGCUAGUUGUGAAGACGAAGUUUGACCCGGAGGUCGACGAUGGGAAGGAGAAGGUCACGGUCUUCUUCGGCACUCAGACCGGCACCGCCGAGGGUUUCGCCAAGUCAUUUGCGGACGAAGCUAAGGCGCGGUAUGAGAAAGCAACUUUCAGAGUCAUCGAUCUGGAUGAUUAUGCGGCGGAGGAUGAGGAAUAUGAGGAGAAGUUAAAGAAAGAGAAGUUUGCUUUGUUCUUUUUGGCAACGUAUGGAGAUGGUGAGCCGACGGAUAAUGCG
RNAcentral lists this unclassified non-coding RNA (530 nucleotides) under Hevea brasiliensis (rubber tree). The record is from RNAcentral. Lineage: Eukaryota; Viridiplantae; Streptophyta; Magnoliopsida; Malpighiales; Euphorbiaceae.